GUGAUGCAAUGUGUCAGCACAAAAAGGCCAUGAGCUUGGCUAUUGCUAGCCACAGACCAGCUGACUGAGAGAGAGAGAGAGAAAGGGGAGAGAGGGGUGGAGAGACGACAGCCCACCUGGGAGUUGCAGAAAACAUGGUUUGAGUUCUUAUCAGGGCCUGCAGCUAUGUGGCAAGAAAGAUGGGGUGCUUGUGCUGUUGCAAAAGCCAAGAGGAGGAGGAGCCUGCAACCCGACACCCAGUAACAACCCCAGCUUUUACCGUAAGAGGAGGCAGAUGACAGGGUUCCCAACAGCCUCCACGUCCCUGAUGUACGGCCCCAAGUCGGGGCCCUGGAACAUGAGGGCCCCGCUCUUCCUUUUAGGGUUCCUCUCUGGACUGGGACCCUCCAAGGCACCCGCUCGAGAAAUGAUUAAGCUACUAAAUCUGCAAGAGAAACCUCCUCUCGCCUCAUCACAGGGCAUCAUGAAGACAGGUUCACAAACUCCCCCUUGAAAGGAGAUGAAAAUGUCUGAAUUCCCCCGCUUGUGAAACACAGAGGGAGAGCUUGAAAUCUGGAAUGGCUGGAUAGGAGCAAACAGCAUCCGUCCAUUAAAAAAUAAUAUAUCUAUA
Molecule: long non-coding RNA, 610 nt
Organism: Hemicordylus capensis (graceful crag lizard)
Lineage: Eukaryota; Metazoa; Chordata; Lepidosauria; Squamata; Cordylidae
Exons: 3
Source: RefSeq, a predicted model, not a curated record